This 301-nucleotide ribosomal RNA is filed under the name uncultured Micromonosporaceae bacterium. RNAcentral describes it as "bacterial SSU rRNA". It matches the Rfam family "Bacterial small subunit ribosomal RNA", at positions 54 to 354 of the family's 1533-position model. Lineage: Bacteria; Bacillati; Actinomycetota; Actinomycetes; Micromonosporales; Micromonosporaceae. The record is from RNAcentral.
GCUUACCAUGCAGUCGAGCGGACCUUCCUUGGGGAUCUCGAGCGGCGAACGGUCGAGUACAAGAGAAAACCUGCCCUUGGCUUUGGGAUAACCCUCGGAAACGGGGGUUAACACCGGAUAUGCAUCAGCUGCCGCAUGGUGGUUGGUGGAAAGUUUUUCGGCCAGGGAUGGGCUCGCGGCCUAUCAGCUUGUUGGUGGGGUGAUGGCCUACCAAGGCGACGACGGGUAGCCGGCCUGAGAGGGCGACCGGCCACACUGGGACUGAGACACGGCCCAGACUCCUACGGGAGGCAGCAGUGGG